Molecule: ribosomal RNA, 322 nt
Filed under: uncultured Trinematidae
Lineage: Eukaryota; Cercozoa; Imbricatea; Euglyphida; Trinematidae
Also listed under: 1 other name
Description: SSU rRNA
Rfam family: Eukaryotic small subunit ribosomal RNA (bases 112-322)
Source: RNAcentral
GAUUUCUGGCUUCAAACAUUUUGCCGGCCACGGUUUCGUGUGUUAGUGCUUGAUGUUGUGGCCAUCCUUCCAAUCGCUGUGCACCUUUCUUCAUUGAUUGGUGUGUAGUAUUGGAUCUUUUACUUUGAAAAAAUUAGAGUGUUUCAAGCAGGCUUUAUGCUAUGAAUACAUUAGCAUGGAAUAAUAAUUUAGGACUUCGGUUCUAUUUUGUUGGUUUCUAGGACUGAAGUAAUGAUUGAUAGGGAUAGUUGGGGGUGCUAGUAUUCAGCGGCCAGAGGUGAAAUUCUCGGAUUCGCUGAAGACUAACUUAUGCGAAAGCAUU